UAGGGAAUCUUCCACAAUGGACGCAAGUCUGAUGGAGCAACGCCGCGUGAGUGAAGAAGGUUUUCGGACCGUAAAGCUCUGUUGUUGGUGAAGAAGGAUAGAGGUAGUAACUGGCCUUUAUUUGACGGUAAUCAACCAGAAAGUCACGGCUAACUACGUGCCAGCAGCCGCGGUAAUCGUAGGUGGCAAGCGUUGUCCGGAUUUAUUGGGCGUAAAGCGAGCGCAGGCGGAAGAAUAAGUCUGAUGUGAAAGCCCUCGGCUUAACCGAGGAAUUGCAUCGGAAACUGUUUUCUUGAGUGCAGAAGAGGAGAGUAGAACUCCAUGUGUAGCGGUGGAAUGCGUAGAUAUAUGGAAGAAUACCAGUGGCGAAGGCGGCUCUCUGGUCUGCAACUGACGCUGAGGCUCGAAAGCAUGGGUAGCGAACAGGAUUAGAUACCCUGGUAGUCCAUGCCGUAAACGAUGAGUGCUAAGUGUUGGGAGGCUUCCGCCUUUUCAGUGCUGCAGCUAACGCAUUAAGCACUCCGCCUGGGGGA
Molecule: ribosomal RNA, 533 nt
Filed under: uncultured bacterium
Lineage: Bacteria
Description: partial 16S ribosomal RNA
Rfam family: Bacterial small subunit ribosomal RNA
Source: RNAcentral